AUCACCUGGGGAUCUUGUUAAGAUACAGACUGCAGUUCAGUAGGUCUGGGGUGAGGCCUGAGAUUCUGCAUUUCUAACUAGCUCCCAGGGGACACCA
RNAcentral lists this microRNA precursor (97 nucleotides) under Otolemur garnettii (small-eared galago). Its description in RNAcentral is "miRNA (ENSOGAG00000023119.1)". Lineage: Eukaryota; Metazoa; Chordata; Mammalia; Primates; Galagidae. The record is from RNAcentral.